AAAUAUUUGUAUACACCAACGUUCGUUUCGGGUUUUGAGACUGCUAUAAAUAUGAGUCUAAUCAGUUGUAAAUUUAUUCAUUCACGUAAUAAUAUACAAAUUCUAAAAACGGGUAUUUGCCUCAAUAUGUUUUGCUCUUGAGUUAUUUGCUUUCUUCAAGUUUGAUUCGUGUUUGUUCACAACACACUACAAUUUUUUUAAGUAUUAUAACUCAGUUUAGGACAAGUUACUUACCGUGACAUUGACACUUAUUCCAGAAGCAAUGACAUCUCUGAUGGAAGGAAUACAUGGAGCAGUAGCAGGGAUCUUAAUAUAGACAUUACGACGGUUCACAGACUUGUGAAGAAGUUUAGCAGCUUUAACAGUGGUUUUGGUAUCAUCAGCAAGCAGAGGUGAAACUUCAACAGAAACAUAGCCAUCCUCAGCAUCAGUCUGGUCAUAGAUUGGCUCAAAAAGCUUGCAAGCAUCUUGAAUAUCCUUCACCACAAGCUCCCAGUACGCUUUUUUAAUGGCCGUUCCAGACUCCACAAGUGUCCUAAUAAAAACAAAAAGAAACUGAUUCUAAUACAGCCAAAAAAGCAUCAUAAAGAUAUGCAUCCACACUAUUACCUGAACUGAUCAUUAUAAGCAUCUGAAGUGGAUAUGGCUUUCUGGAAGAUCUACAAAGGUUUUAAUAGAGUGAAGGAGUUUUAAGACAAAAUGAAACAACCAGAGAGUAAAAUAAAGGUAAAAGGGCACAAAGAGAGAUGGUUAUUAAAAAAUUACCGCAGGGUUGCUAGUUACACCACGAACGCCACGGGCAAUGAAGGGGAUAAGAUCAGUGACAGGACGGCAUAGAUUAUCAUACCAAGGACUCUGGCCUUCCUUCUCAUAUAGAUCGUGAAGAGUGGUUCUCUUUGCAGUACUUCCAUUUCCACCAGAGGCUGAACACCUCACACUGUAAAAUCAACCAAAGGAAGAAAGAGUACAUAAAAUCAAAUUCUGCUGCAGAUAGAGAAACAUAUAGUUUGCUUUUCUUAAACCAACCUAUCAACGUGAAUUGCAAGAUCAACCUUAUAGCAAGAAAAAGACUAUAGAGAGACAAGACACAUGCAUCAGUAAAGUUGAUAUGUAUACUUACAAGAGGGAAGGUCUGGUCUGUUUGUUGUAACGAAUAGAAAGAUGGGAAGCAGAAGAAAGCUUGGCGUUAAAACUGCGGAUGUUAACGAAGGAUCUUGGUAUGACAGAGGAAGAUCUGGGGCAGGUGGAAGUUGCGGGAGUAAGGUUGGUGAGAUUGGAAAUGGACGCCAUUUUUUUCCAGCUGGGGAAGUAUGAAAAGUGUUAUUCUUGGUUUGAUCGGAUGAUAAAAACAAGAAAAGUGAGAACCAAUGGGGUUUUGCUGGAAUGGUGAGUUAGGUGGACUAGUAAAAAUGAUGGAUUGCUGCUCUAAUAGUUGUCUGAUACAGAAUAGUAACAAUAAUCCAUCGAGCUAAUGGUGUCUUAUGAUAAACAUGAGAGGUUGCUUCACGUCUUGUAAUAGCUGCUGUUAGUUUGCAAGGGGUCGUACUUUGACUAAUCGUACUUUGAAAAGGUCAAACGUUUAGAAGACAAAAUGAGUCGAGAUACGGAACUCUUUGUUGUACAUACAGCUUUUAAUUUUUGAUAGCGCCUACAAACUUAAGAGAUACCAACUGAUCUGUUUAGGCAUGCAUAUGAUAAGCAUUAAACAAUAAACACAGACUAUAAACAGUCUUUCACCAUCAUCAUCGAAAAACAGAACUUAGAGUACACGUUCAAUAAAUAUGACAAGUUUCUUAUUAUUCAGCAAAAAAACAAGACAAUCUUGCUCUAAAUUGCCUUAAUAUUAAAAGAAAAAAACAGAUGAGAAUCUUUGAGACACAGACACUGUCUGCUGUUGUGCUUUUAUUCGUCAUUAACCAAUGAGUAACUUAUUCUCUUCCAAGAAGCUGUAGGUUGGUACCUCCAGGUUGUAUGGAGCAGGACCUUUCCUAAUCCUUCCAGAGAUAUCAUAAUGCGAACCGUGACAAAUAUGGCUGAUUCGGAUAAAUUUAAAUAUUUUGGUUACAAAUAUUUUUUGAAUAAUUCGGUUCUUUCAAGUAUUUCAAAUAGUUUUAAAUAUUUCAGAUAAAAAAAUUCUGGAUAAUUUGGUUUAUAAAUGAUAUUUUAGAAGUUCAGUAAAUUUUCAAUAAUAUAAAUUAUAUUUUAGAUAGUUACAUACCAAUUUAAUUUUCGCUUCAGUUUCGGUUUUGGAUUUCCAAGAUAUGGAAACUGUUUAAAUAAUUGUGAACAUCGGUUUGGUUUUGGAUUAGUUUUUUCAGAUUUGGUUCAGUUUUCAGCUUACUCACAAUAUGUAAAAGUUACUUAUAAAUUGAAGUAACUCCACUAAAACAUCAUAAUACAAGAACAAGUGUGAACAUGCCAUAUAACAGCUCUAGGAAACGUAGAGUUUGAAGAACAAAGCCGAAGGCUCUUCUUUUAUUCCAUUACUACAGUAAACAAAACGAAGAGCCAAGGUUCAAAUCUGUGACGUUAAGCGUUUUCUUUCUCCUCUUCAUUGGCUGGCUAGUUUGAGAGAGUUGGCCUUGUCUUGAAGUGUACCAAGCAGACUCUCGAAACUCUUCUUGAACGAGUCUACACCUUCUUCUUCCAACUGUUCUCCCACUUUGUUCCAGUCUAUUCCCAGCUUCUCUAGUGCACUGUACACCCCUUCUGCUUCUGACACAUUCGCAUCUAUCGUCCUCUUCACCGUUCCAUGGUCAAUGAACGCUUCCAGCGCUUGAUCCGGCAUGGUUGACACCUAAACCCAAACCAAAAAUAUAAACACUUGUUUUGGGAAGUGAAACAUGAGACGGCAAACACAAAAGAUGACUCACAGUGUCAGGUCCAAUGAGAGGAGCAACAUAUAAAGUGUCAGAGUAAGCUGGGUUCUUGACACUUGUCGAUGCCCAGAGAAGCCUCUGCUUCUUGGCACCUUUCUUCACCAAAGCUUCCCAUCUUGGGCCUGAGAACUUUUUCUGGUAUAGUUGGUAUGCUAAUGCAGCUUGAGCCACAGCCGCCUGCAAGAACAACACAUCAGGUGUUCACAAACUCAUAAACUCAUUCACAGCAAUGAACCGAGAUUUUACCUUGCCACGGAGGUCUAGAGCUUCUGGGGUACCAAUCUUCUCAAGCAUCUUGUCCAUGAGAGUAUCCACCCUACUCACAAAGAAGGAAGCAACACUUGUAACUCUUGAGAGGUCAUCAAGUCCAGACGCCUCGAGUCCAUCCAAAUAUGCAUCGAUCACUGCCUCAUAUCUAGCUAUUGAGAAUAUAAGCUGCAACAGAACAGAACAAGGAUGUAUCAUAUAAGAACAUAACCGUUAAUUCCUGGAAAUGUCUUUAAAUAUUUGUAUACACCAACGUUCGUUUCGGGUUUUGAGACUGCUAUAAAUAUGAGUCUAAUCAGUUGUAAAUUUAUUCAUUCACGUAAUAAUAUACAAAUUCUAAAAACGGGUAUUUGCCUCAAUAUGUUUUGCUCUUGAGUUAUUUGCUUUCUUCAAGUUUGAUUCGUGUUUGUUCACAACACACUACAAUUUUUUUAAGUAUUAUAACUCAGUUUAGGACAAGUUACUUACCGUGACAUUGACACUUAUUCCAGAAGCAAUGACAUCUCUGAUGGAAGGAAUACAUGGAGCAGUAGCAGGGAUCUUAAUAUAGACAUUACGACGGUUCACAGACUUGUGAAGAAGUUUAGCAGCUUUAACAGUGGUUUUGGUAUCAUCAGCAAGCAGAGGUGAAACUUCAACAGAAACAUAGCCAUCCUCAGCAUCAGUCUGGUCAUAGAUUGGCUCAAAAAGCUUGCAAGCAUCUUGAAUAUCCUUCACCACAAGCUCCCAGUACGCUUUUUUAAUGGCCGUUCCAGACUCCACAAGUGUCCUAAUAAAAACAAAAAGAAACUGAUUCUAAUACAGCCAAAAAAGCAUCAUAAAG
This 3969-nucleotide long non-coding RNA is filed under the name Brassica napus (rape). RNAcentral's name for it is "long non-coding RNA (BNAP_LNC002020)". Lineage: Eukaryota; Viridiplantae; Streptophyta; Magnoliopsida; Brassicales; Brassicaceae. The record is from RNAcentral.